CCUACGGGUGGCAGCAGUGGGGGAUAUUGGACAAUGGGGGGAACCCUGAUCCAGCCAUGCCGCGUGUGUGAAGAAGGCCCUCGGGUUGUAAAGCACUUUCAGUGAGGAAGAACGCCUGGUGGUUAAUACCCAUCAGGAAAGACAUCACUCACAGAAGAAGCACCGGCUAACUCCGUGCCAGCAGCCGCGGUAAUACGGAGGGUGCGAGCGUUAAUCGGAAUUACUGGGCGUAAAGCGCGCGUAGGUGGCUUGAUAAGCCGGUUGUGAAAGCCCCGGGCUCAACCUGGGAACGGCAUCCGGAACUGUCAAGCUAGAGUGCAGGAGAGGAAGGUAGAAUUCCCGGUGUAGCGGUGAAAUGCGUAGAGCUCGGGAGGAAUACCAGUGGCGAAGGCGGCCUUCUGGACUGACACUGACACUGAGGUGCGAAAGCGUGGGUAGCAAACAGGAUUAGAUACCCGUGUAGUC
RNAcentral lists this ribosomal RNA (465 nucleotides) under Vreelandella stevensii. Its description in RNAcentral is "partial 16S ribosomal RNA". It matches the Rfam family "Bacterial small subunit ribosomal RNA", at positions 338 to 795 of the family's 1533-position model. The record is from RNAcentral. Lineage: Bacteria; Pseudomonadati; Pseudomonadota; Gammaproteobacteria; Oceanospirillales; Halomonadaceae.